Triticum aestivum (bread wheat) is the source of this 762-nucleotide long non-coding RNA. RefSeq lists it as uncharacterized. Lineage: Eukaryota; Viridiplantae; Streptophyta; Magnoliopsida; Poales; Poaceae. The transcript has 4 exons. The record is from RefSeq and is a predicted model, not a curated record.
CACCGCCACGGGAAGCCCCGAUGAGAUCGCCAAGCUGUUCCCCAACUUGUACGGCCAGCCUUCGGCCGAGCCGGCCGCAAUGAAGUUGCUCAAGAUCAGUCGUCGUGCUUUCUGGUGGCUAGGCUCUAGGGGGGCAGAAUGUGAUCUGUGAUGUCUCUGGGGAGGCCCGGCUGGUGUCAUGAAGGGAAGUACGUCCAGGUGACUGUUGAUUUCUUGUACCCCUAAUGAAACCACACAAGAGCUCUACCCCAGCAUGGCUUCCCCAUCUCUGGUCGUUCCCUUGCAUUCCUCCAUUGGUGGCUGGGAAGAUGGGCCACCACCGAAGCCGCUCCCACUAAUCGCCAAACUGUACCUGCUAGAUUAAUGAGGUCGCAGCCGAGGCCGACCAUCGCCGCGCAAACUCAUGGGUUCGAUGUGGGUUUAUUUGCAUAUUAUUUACUUAAUAAAAUGGUUUGAGGUGAAGAGCCAAAGGCCCGAAGCCAAAUGUUCCUAACAGAACGACGAUCCGCGGGAAACAAGGCCAACGCUAUGUGUGCCUGCAAGAUUGAGGUUCCCAGAUAUUUUACUUUUCUCCAUGAUCCUACACCAUUGUAUUGCUUCAUGUAGAUCCCUUUAUCAUUCAUUUUUAUUGUUCAAAUCUCUAUAUGGUUGUCAUAUAGAUGAUAUUACAGGGAUGUAGCACUAAUGCAUUAUAUUUUUCAUGUGUUGUCGUAAACAGAACUCCCUCUGUACUGAUGCAUAUAUGUUUUUUUCUUUUAAUUG